Molecule: ribosomal RNA, 540 nt
Filed under: uncultured Geobacteraceae bacterium
Lineage: Bacteria; Pseudomonadati; Thermodesulfobacteriota; Desulfuromonadia; Geobacterales; Geobacteraceae
Description: bacterial SSU rRNA
Rfam family: Bacterial small subunit ribosomal RNA
Source: RNAcentral
GAGUUUGAUCCUGGCUCAGAACGAACGCUGGCGGCGUGCCUAACACAUGCAAGUCGAACGUGAUCCAGAGCUUGCUCUGGUGAAAGUGGCGCACGGGUGAGUAACGCGUGGAUAACCUACCCUGGAAUCCGGGAUAACAUUCCGAAAGGGGUGCUAAUACCGGAUAAGCCCACGGGCUCUUUGGAGCUUGCGGGAAAAGGUGGCCUCUAUUUAUAAGCUACUGUAUCAGGAUGGGUCCGCGUACCAUUAGCUAGUUGGCGGUGUGACGGACCACCAAGGCGACGAUGGUUAGCUGGUCUGAGAGGAUGAUCAGCCACACUGGAACUGAGACACGGUCCAGACUCCUACGGGAGGCAGCAGUGGGGAAUUUUGCGCAAUGGGGGAAACCCUGACGCAGCAACGCCGCGUGAGUGAUGAAGGCCUUUGGGUCGUAAAGCUCUGUCAGAGGGGAAGAAAUGAUAUAGUGCUAAUACCACUUUAUCUUGACGGUACCCUCAAAGGAAGCACCGGCUAACUCCGUGCCAGCAGCCGCGGUAAUAC